AUUGAACGCUGGCGGCAGGCCUAACACAUGCAAGUCGAGCGGAUGAAGGGAGCUUGCUCCUGGAUUCAGCGGCGGACGGGUGAGUAAUGCCUAGGAAUCUGCCUGGUAGUGGGGGAUAACGUCCGGAAACGGGCGCUAAUACCGCAUACGUCCUGAGGGAGAAAGUGGGGGAUCUUCGGACCUCACGCUAUCAGAUGAGCCUAGGUCGGAUUAGCUAGUUGGUGGGGUAAAGGCCUACCAAGGCGACGAUCCGUAACUGGUCUGAGAGGAUGAUCAGUCACCAUGGGACCUAGACCAGGUCCCGAACCCUUAGGGGAGGCGGCGUGGGGAAUAUUGGACAAUGGGCGAAAGCCUGAUCCAGCCAUGCCGCGUGUGUGAAGAAGGUCUUCGGAUUGUAAAGCACUUUAAGUUGGGAGGAAGGGCAGUAAGUUAAUACCUUGCUGUUUUGACGUUACCAACAGAAUAAGCACCGGCUAACUUCGUG
RNAcentral lists this ribosomal RNA (484 nucleotides) under uncultured bacterium. RNAcentral describes it as "partial 16S ribosomal RNA". It matches the Rfam family "Bacterial small subunit ribosomal RNA", at positions 30 to 507 of the family's 1533-position model. The record is from RNAcentral.